This 303-nucleotide unclassified non-coding RNA is filed under the name plant metagenome. RNAcentral describes it as "partial contains 5.8S ribosomal RNA, internal transcribed spacer 2, and large subunit ribosomal RNA". The stretch from base 1 to 105 matches the Rfam family "5.8S ribosomal RNA", at positions 50 to 154 of the family's 154-position model. The record is from RNAcentral.
GAAAUGCGAUAAGUAAUGUGAACUGCAGAAUUCAGUGAAUCAUCGAAUCUUUGAACGCACAUUGCGCCCGCCAGUAUUCUGGCGGGCAUGCCUGUUCGAGCGUCAUUUCAACCAUCAAGCCCCGGGCUUGUGUUGGGGACCUGCGGCUGCCGCAGGCCCUGAAAAGCAGUGGCGGGCUCGCUGUCACACCGAGCGUAGUAGCAUACAUCUCGCUCUGGGCGUGCUGCGGGUUCCGGCCGUUAAACCACCUUCGUAACCCAAGGUUGACCUCGGAUCAGGUAGGAAGACCCGCUGAACUUAAGC